RNAcentral lists this ribosomal RNA (274 nucleotides) under uncultured bacterium. RNAcentral's name for it is "partial 16S ribosomal RNA". It matches the Rfam family "Bacterial small subunit ribosomal RNA", at positions 523 to 796 of the family's 1533-position model. The record is from RNAcentral.
AUACGGAGGGUGCAAGCGUUAAUCGGAAUUACUGGGCGUAAAGCGUGCGUAGGUGGUUUGUUAAGUCAGAUGUGAAAGCCCCGGGCUCAACCUGGGAACUGCAUUUGAAACUGGCAUACUAGAGUAUAGGAGAGGAAUGUGGAAUUUCAGGUGUAGCGGUGAAAUGCGUAGAUAUCUGAAGGAACAUCAAUGGCGAAGGCAGCUUUCUGGACUAAUACUGACACUGAGGUACGAAAGCGUGGGUAGCAAACAGGAUUAGAAACCCUAGUAGUCC